RNAcentral lists this ribosomal RNA (304 nucleotides) under Elephas maximus (Asiatic elephant). RNAcentral describes it as "partial small subunit ribosomal RNA". It matches the Rfam family "Bacterial small subunit ribosomal RNA", at positions 795 to 1256 of the family's 1533-position model. The record is from RNAcentral. Lineage: Eukaryota; Metazoa; Chordata; Mammalia; Proboscidea; Elephantidae.
CCUAGCCCUAAACUUUGAUAGCUACCUUUACAAAGCUAUCCGCCAGAGAACUACUAGCCAGAGCUUAAAACUUAAAGGACUUGGCGGUGCUUUAUAUCCACCUAGGGGAGCCUGUCUCAUAACCGAUGAACCCCGAUACACCUUACCGUCACUUGCUAAUUCAGUCCAUAUACCACCAUCUUCAGCAAACCCCUAUAGGGCACAAAAGUGAGCUUAAUCAUAACCCAUGAAAAAGUUAGGCCGAGGUGUCGCCUACGUGACGGUCAAAGAUGGGCUACAUUUUCUAUUAUAGAACAGAUAAACG